RNAcentral lists this ribosomal RNA (433 nucleotides) under uncultured bacterium. RNAcentral describes it as "partial 16S ribosomal RNA". It matches the Rfam family "Bacterial small subunit ribosomal RNA", at positions 29 to 507 of the family's 1533-position model. The record is from RNAcentral.
AGCGAACGCUGGCGGCAGGCCUAACACAUGCAAGUCGAACGAACUCUUCGGAGUUAGUGGCGGACGGGUGAGUAACACGUGGGAACGUGCCUUUUGGUUCGGAAUAACUCAGGGAAACUUGUGCUAAUACCGAAUGUGCCCUUCUGGGGAAAGAUUUAUCGCCAUUAGAGCGGCCCGCGUCUGAUUAGCUAGUUGGUUAGGUAACGGCUCACCAAGGCGACGAUCAGUAGCUGGUCUGAGAGGAUGACCAGCCACACUGGGACUGAGACACGGCCCAGAAUCCUACGGGAGGCAGCAGUGGGGAAUCUUGCGCAAUGGGCGAAAGCCUGACGCAGCCAUGCCGCGUGAAUGAUGAAGGUCUUAGGAUUGUAAAAUUCUUUCAACGGGGAAGAUAAUGACGGUACCCGGAGAAGAAGCCCCGGCUAACUUCGUG